Molecule: ribosomal RNA, 309 nt
Filed under: uncultured bacterium
Lineage: Bacteria
Description: partial 16S ribosomal RNA
Rfam family: Bacterial small subunit ribosomal RNA
Source: RNAcentral
AGAGACAGCAGUAGCCACGGGAAUACGAAGGGGGCUAGCGUUGUUCGGAAUUACUGGGCGUAAAGCGCACGUAGGCGGACAUUUAAGUCAGGGGUGAAAUCCCGGGGCUCAACCUCGGAACUGCCUUUGAUACUGGGUGUCUUGAGUGUGGAAGAGGUAAGUGGAAUUGCGAGUGUAGAGGUGAAAUUCGUAGAUAUUCGCAGGAACACCAGUGGCGAAGGCGGCUUACUGGUCCACAACUGACGCUGAGGUGCGAAAGCGUGGGGAGCAAACAGGAUUAGAGACCCCUGUAGUCCCUGUCUCUUAUAC